Molecule: ribosomal RNA, 512 nt
Filed under: Parnassius maharaja labeyriei
Lineage: Eukaryota; Metazoa; Arthropoda; Insecta; Lepidoptera; Papilionidae
Description: partial 16S ribosomal RNA
Rfam family: Bacterial large subunit ribosomal RNA (bases 385-512)
Source: RNAcentral
UUUUUGAUUAAUAAUUUAAAGUCUAAUCUGCCCACUGAUAUAAUAUUAAAGGGCUGCAGUAUUUUGACUGUACAAAGGUAGCAUAAUCAUUAGUCUCUUAAUUGGUGACUUGUAUGAAAGAUUUGAUGAAAUAUAUACUGUCUCUAUUUAAUUAGUAAAAUUUAAUUUUUUAGUUAAAAAGCUAAAAUAUAUUUAAAAGACGAGAAGACCCUAUAGAGUUUUAUAUUUAAUUAAAUUAAAAUUUUUUAUAAGAUUUAAAAUUUUGAUGUGUUUAAAUAUUAUGUUGGGGUGACAAAAAAAUUUAAAUAACUUUUUUUAUAGAUUAACAUUUAUUAAUGAAUAUAUGAUCCGUAAUUUACGAUUAUAAGAAAAAAUUACCUUAGGGAUAACAGCGUAAUUUUUUUUUUUAGUUCAAAUAAGAAUUAAAGUUUGCGACCUCGAUGUUGGAUUAAGAUAAAAUUUAAAUGCAAAAGUUUAAAAUUUUUGAUCUGUUCGAUCAUUAAAAUCUUACA